GCGACCCCAGGUCAGGCGGGGCCACCCGCUGAGU
This 34-nucleotide ribosomal RNA is filed under the name Platanus gentryi. Its description in RNAcentral is "partial 25S ribosomal RNA". Lineage: Eukaryota; Viridiplantae; Streptophyta; Magnoliopsida; Proteales; Platanaceae. The record is from RNAcentral.